RNAcentral lists this ribosomal RNA (492 nucleotides) under uncultured bacterium. RNAcentral describes it as "partial 16S ribosomal RNA". It matches the Rfam family "Bacterial small subunit ribosomal RNA", at positions 29 to 507 of the family's 1533-position model. The record is from RNAcentral.
AGUGAACGCUGGCGGUAGGCCUAACACAUGCAAGUCGAACGGCAGCACAGUAAGAGCUUGCUCUUACGGGUGGCGAGUGGCGGACGGGUGAGGAAUACAUCGGAAUCUACUUUUUCGUGGGGGAUAACGUAGGGAAACUUACGCUAAUACCGCAUACGACCUACGGGUGAAAGCAGGGGAUCUUCGGACCUUGCGCGAUUGAAUGAGCCGAUGUCGGAUUAGCUAGUUGGCGGGGUAAAGGCCCACCAAGGCGACGAUCCGUAGCUGGUCUGAGAGGAUGAUCCGCCACACUGGAACUGAGACACGGCCCAGACUCCUACGGGAGGCAGCAGUGGGGAAUAUUGGACAAAGGGCGCAAGCCUGAUCCAGCCAUACCGCGUGGGUGAAGAAGGCCUUCGGGUUGUAAAGCCCUUUUGUUGGGAAAGAAAAGCAGCAGGUUAAUACCCCGCUGUUCUGACGGUACCCAAAGAAUAAGCACCGGCUAACUUCGUG